UACAGAGGUCCCAAGCGUUGUUCGGAUUCACUGGGCGUAAAGGGUGCGUAGGCGGUCGGGUAAGUCUGAUGUGAAAUCUCACAGCUUAACUGUGAAACUGCAUUGGAUACUAUUCGGCUAGAGAGUUGGAGGGGGGACUGGAAUUCUUGGUGUAGCAGUGAAAUGCGUAGAUAUCAAGAGGAACACCAGUGGCGAAGGCGAGUCCCUGGAAAACUCCUGACACUGAGGCACGAAAGCUAGGGGAGCAAACAGG
This 253-nucleotide ribosomal RNA is filed under the name uncultured bacterium. Its description in RNAcentral is "partial 16S ribosomal RNA". It matches the Rfam family "Bacterial small subunit ribosomal RNA", at positions 524 to 776 of the family's 1533-position model. The record is from RNAcentral.